GACGAACGCUGGCGGCGUGCUUAAUACAUGCAAGUCGAGCGACUGGAUUAAGAGCUUGCUCUUAUGAAGUUAGCGGCGGACGGGUGAGUAACACGUGGGUAACCUGCCCAUAAGACUGGGAUAACUCCGGGAAACCGGGGCUACUACCGGAUAACAUUUUGAACCGCCUGGUUCGAAAUUGAAAGGCGGCUUCGGCUGUCACUUAUGGAUGGACCCGCGUCGCAUUAGCUAGUUGGUGAGGUAACGGCUCACCAAGGCAACGAUGCGGAGCCGACCUGAGAGGGUGAUCGGCCACACUGGGACUGAGACACGGCCCAGACUCCUACGGGAGGCAGCAGUAGGGAAUCUUCCGCAAUGGACGAAAGUCUGACGGAGCAACGCCGCGUGAGUGAUGAAGGCUUUCGGGUCGUAAAACUCUGUUGUUAGGGAAGAACAAGUGCUAGUUGAAUAAGCUGGCACCUUGACGGUACCUAACCAGAAAGCCACGGCUAACUACGUGCCAGCAGCCGCCGUAA
This 515-nucleotide ribosomal RNA is filed under the name uncultured bacterium. RNAcentral's name for it is "partial 16S ribosomal RNA". It matches the Rfam family "Bacterial small subunit ribosomal RNA", at positions 28 to 523 of the family's 1533-position model. The record is from RNAcentral.